AUCCCACUGCUUGAAGCUACACCUUUUGUAUUCAUACACUACCCAUCUCCCGUCCAAGAGGUUGAAAUUCUGAAUCAGGGCCCGCCCACUAUCAUAGCUCUACCAGUCCUAAUACCCACCACCUGCAUUUACUUGGAUUCACCUGUGUGCCAUUGUGAAACAUAUGAACAACUGAUAAGACCACAUAAUAUCACAAUCUUGGACAUCAUAAUUUUUUUAACGUCGCAACCAUAUAAUACUAGUAGAAUGCCCGUGCGUUGUCACGGGCACUUACAAUAUUUUAUAAGUUAUACAAAGGUAAUGCAUGCCACUUUUUAUAUGUAGAGACUAUAUAACAUUAGCACAAUUACUUAAUAAUAAAAGUCCACUUUACUUCCAAUGAAAAGUCAUAACAAUAAAACAAAUUGAUGACAUGUCCACGAAACAAAUUGAG
This 433-nucleotide long non-coding RNA is filed under the name Hordeum vulgare. RNAcentral describes it as "long non-coding RNA (HVUL_LNC004014)". Lineage: Eukaryota; Viridiplantae; Streptophyta; Magnoliopsida; Poales; Poaceae. The record is from RNAcentral.